UGACCUCGAAUCAGGUAGGGAUACCCGCUGAACUUAA
This 37-nucleotide ribosomal RNA is filed under the name Coccocarpia sp. RNAcentral describes it as "partial 28S ribosomal RNA". The record is from RNAcentral. Lineage: Eukaryota; Fungi; Ascomycota; Lecanoromycetes; Peltigerales; Coccocarpiaceae.